Molecule: ribosomal RNA, 303 nt
Filed under: uncultured bacterium
Lineage: Bacteria
Description: partial 16S ribosomal RNA
Rfam family: Bacterial small subunit ribosomal RNA
Source: RNAcentral
AGCAGUAGCCGCGGUAAUGCGAAGGGGGCUAGCGUUGCUCGGAAUUACUGGGCGUAAAGGGAGCGUAGGCGGAUCGUUUAGUCAGGGGUGAAAUCCCGGGGCUCAACCUCGGAACUGCCUUUGAUACUGGCGAUCUUGAGUAUGGGAGAGGUGUGUGGAACUCCGAGCGUAGAGGUGAAAUUCGUAGAUAUUCGGAAGAACACCAGUGGCGAAGGCGACACACUGGCCCAUUACUGACGCUGAGGCUCGAAAGCGUGGGGAGCAAACAGGAUUAGAUACCCCUGUAGUCCCUGUCUCUUAUAA